AAUAAAAAUUUUGUAUUACUGCUACCCUCACUCUCUCUCUCUCAAAAAAAAGUCAACUUCAGUUUCUAGCUUCAUUUCCUUCGGCUUUUGCAAUCAUUGCCGGAUCCGGUGGUGGAGCGGCUUCUGCUAUUCGAUCUAGGCUGAGAUGAUAGACGGGAUAAGAGAAGAUUGAAAAGUAUUGAUGGAUUAGAAAUCUGAUAUAUAUAUAUAAAAAAAAAGUGAUAUUAAAACUUCUUCUCUUUCCCUAGUUAAUUCUUAUGAUUAUCAAUACAAUCUAGAGAGUUUCAGUUGUUUUUUGAGCUUGAUUUGGUUGAGAAAAAGUUAGAUAUGUGAUGAUUAUUCAAUUAGGAUCAUAUCGAUCUGCUUUUUGCCUAACAAGUUUAACCAGUCAACCAAAUCAUGUAAUUUUGUUCACUGGAGAAUAGUUUUCCUUAAUACCUAUACCAUUUUGCAAUUUUAAUAUUGUAGCUGCUACUGAAGCUAAUGGCGAUGAACUUGGUGAACUUCUCAAGCUACUUGAUGAGAUCAACGCCGAUGGGUCACAAAAGAAGAGGCGCAACACUAAGUCAAAGCGCAUAACACUUCCUGAUCUUGAACCUUUUUUUUGGAAAUUUCCUCUUUAUCAUGUUUGUAAAAAGUUUGGAGUUGGUGAAACCACCUUUAGGACUAUUUGUAGGAAGCUUGGCAUCCCUAAGUGGCCAUAUGACCAGAAAAGAAAAACUAACACCAAACGCAAACAAAGAAACGCUAACACCACACGCGAUCAAGGAAACGUCAUGAACACCGUACGCUAUCAAGGAAACAUUAAGACUGUCAGGGUUCAAGGAAACGGCAACGUUGCCGUUAACACUACCGUAUGCGAUCAUGGAAACGGUAACAUCAUAAGCGAUGAGCCACCUAUAGCGGAAAUCUUUUACUUGGAUGACAAUCCCUGUCCGGAUAUGAGGACGAUCAUGCAUGCAGGAGAUUAUUAGAGCUAAUUUGAUCCGAAAUUAAAUUAGUUAAAUACGAGUGUGUUAUUAAAUUUUGUGUCCUUUUAUGUAGUGAUACUCUAUCUAUAUUGGUUUUGGCGCAUGUACCUAGCUAGUAAUAAUUUGUGACAUAAAGUACCGGCCGCUGGUGGUACGUGGUGUGAGAUUAUAUAUUCGAUCUGGAAUUAUCUGUUGGAAUUGAUUAUAUUAUAUAUAUAUGACUGGCCGGCCAUUUAAUUGUGGUUGGAUAUA
Long non-coding RNA from Erigeron canadensis, 1223 nucleotides. RefSeq lists it as uncharacterized. Lineage: Eukaryota; Viridiplantae; Streptophyta; Magnoliopsida; Asterales; Asteraceae. The record is from RefSeq and is a predicted model, not a curated record. The transcript has 3 exons.